This 274-nucleotide long non-coding RNA is filed under the name Arabidopsis lyrata. Its description in RNAcentral is "long non-coding RNA (ALYR_LNC001281)". Lineage: Eukaryota; Viridiplantae; Streptophyta; Magnoliopsida; Brassicales; Brassicaceae. The record is from RNAcentral.
GGGAAAAUUGUGUCACCGUAACCAACUCCUCGCAUCGUCAGAGGAUUUGAGGACGUUUCUCGGGUGCGGAGGACUCGUGGCAAAACCGAUUGAAUUGGGAAUCUUCCUCCUCCAACGAAUGCUAUUUCCAUUGUUCUUCCCUUGUUUUAUAGUGUUCUUUUGUAAUGUUGUUUGUUUGUAGAUUUUGGUUUUCUGCUUUCUUUGUUGAGUCUUCGUGUUCUGUAAAAAUUCAAAAAUUGGUAUAAUAAAUCUUCACCUGUUUACCAAAAAAAAA